Molecule: non-coding RNA, 535 nt
Filed under: Pan troglodytes (chimpanzee)
Lineage: Eukaryota; Metazoa; Chordata; Mammalia; Primates; Hominidae
Source: RNAcentral
AAAAACAAGCACCAUCUUCAUACCUGCUGAAACCUAAUUCUCAUCCAGAGGGAUGUGAGGAAUAAAGGGGGCAGUGAUACCAACAGCGGGCGUAGGCAGCCCAUCCAUCCCACGCAGGUCAUGAAGCUGAUGCUUAGAGAGGUUCAGUAAUCCACCCAUGUCUCUCUGACCCAGGUCUGAUCACCAUACUAUUGCCUGCAGAUGAAGAGGAGCAACAUAUUGUAUCCUGUGUUGCUCAAGAGAGCAGAAUUAGGACUUAGAAUAGCCUUCUAAGAAUUGCUCUGUGCCACCAAAUGGGUGGCAGACUUCUAGACAAGUUUUCUAAACUUGUCAGCCUCAACUACAAGUCAGCUGGUGAGAGAAAACAAACAUUGCUAUCCAGGGGCUUUUGCUUGUCAGCCUCAACUACAAGUGAGCUGGUGAGAGAAAACAAACAUCACUAUCCAGGGGCUUUUGCUGGACUUACUGAAUGUAACAGAGAUCGGAUUGGAUUGUCUCUAAUGUCUGUUUCACGAAUAGAGUUCUGUAAAUAGUC